GUCAUUUCAACCUAGGUCCAAGUACCUCCCCAAGAGAUGUUACAGAUUUAUCAGAUUGCAAGAUGGACAACUUUGUUCCUGCCUAUGAAGUUGUCAAAUUUUACCUGUUUUUUGAGAAAUGGAGGCGUGGAGAAAUUGAGCAUUCUGAGCAUUAUCUGUCAAACCUGAAAGCAGUGUGUAGACCAUCUGGUACUUUUGUUCACCCAUCUGGUGUUGAGAAAUCCCUUCAGGAAUGUGUAACUACAUUCGGAACAUGUCAUGCUGACAAACAUGGGAAACAAUAUCGUGUUUGGGUCGAUCAAGUUUUACCUUCACAGGUUGGUUCAGACUCAUGGUUAGUGAGUUUCAAGAAGUGGGAGCUCUCUGGUGAAAACAGGCGAUGCUGCAUAACUACAGUCCUAUUAAGUUCAAAGAAUAAGACUGUUGCAGACGGGCUCACUUGGACUCACGUACAUCAGACAUGGCUGCACGACGAUGCAUCAAGUGACUCCGCGUCCUGGUUCUUUUAGAUUGCCUUUCUCAGUGUAUUAACUCUGAAAACUCAGCACCCCUUUUACCAGUUUCACACCCAGAAUAAACACAAUAUACAAACUAUAGUUGAUAAUCAAUGUAUUAACUUUCUCCUCCUUUGAUAAUCAAUUAUUACCAUCUAAACCAGUGAAGAUGGCUUUGCCU
Molecule: unclassified non-coding RNA, 675 nt
Filed under: Hevea brasiliensis (rubber tree)
Lineage: Eukaryota; Viridiplantae; Streptophyta; Magnoliopsida; Malpighiales; Euphorbiaceae
Source: RNAcentral